Molecule: unclassified non-coding RNA, 304 nt
Filed under: uncultured Agaricales
Lineage: Eukaryota; Fungi; Basidiomycota; Agaricomycetes; Agaricales
Description: sequence contains 5.8S rRNA gene, ITS2, 28S rRNA gene
Rfam family: 5.8S ribosomal RNA (bases 1-52)
Source: RNAcentral
AACGCACCUUGCGCUCCUUGGUAUUCCGAGGAGCAUGCCUGUUUGAGUGUCAUUAAAUUCUCAACUAUACAAGUUGUAUCAACUUUGUAUAGCUUGGAUUUUGGGAUUAUGCAGGCUUGUUAUCACGAGUCAGCUAUCCUUAAAUGCAUUAGCAAAGCUUUUGUGUUGCUGAUCUUUGGUGUGAUAAUUAUCUACGCCAUUGAAAAGCAUCAUAAUGUUUCCAAUGGCUUAGCUUCUAAUCGUCUAUGUGACAAUAUCUUGACAACUUGACCUCAAAUCAGGUAGGACUACCCGCUGAACUUAA